Long non-coding RNA from Sinocyclocheilus rhinocerous, 370 nucleotides. RefSeq lists it as uncharacterized. The transcript has 3 exons. The record is from RefSeq and is a predicted model, not a curated record. NCBI's taxonomy places the organism in Eukaryota, Metazoa, Chordata, Actinopteri, Cypriniformes, Cyprinidae.
AGUUGGGAAGUUACAAUUGCUCAUGUUCAGAUGGAUUCACUGCAACAAACUCAAGUCUCCCCAUCAGCAUCAAUAACACAUGUACAGAUGUGAAUGAAUGUCUUAAGACACCAGAAUUCUGUGGUCCAAACUCUCAUUGCACCAACUCAGUUGGGAGUUACAGCUGUUCUUGCUUGAGUGGAUUUACAGUAACAAAUAGCAGUGAACCAGUCAGCGCCAGUAACCCAUGCAAUGAUAUUAAUGAAUGUCUCAACUCAUCGUUGGUGUGUGGGCCGAAUGCUAACUGUUCCAAUUACAAUGGAAACUAUUCGUGCUCUUGUUGGGAAGGAUAUAACGUUACAAAGAUGAAUGAGACUAUAAAUAACAGUAA